AGAAAUCAGUGCUGCAUGUCUGAAGGUACAGCAAAUGCAAUGGCCAUGGGCAGGGGCAGGUUUUGUGUAGGAGCUGCUUUCGUCAUAGCAAUUUGGAUGACCGAAGUCUCUUGCGCCCCAUUUGGAGGGACCAACGGGAGAUCCAAAGAUGAGAACGGCCUGGGAAAUGUUCCACAAAAUGACCUAGCUGACGUCAUUAAAAUGCAACAACUAAUUGAGGCCCUGUAUCAAGACCACUAUAUUAUAGAAGAUGUUUCACAAACAUCGCUAAGCAAAGGUUGCAGGAAACACUAUAAGGCCGUUGGACUACAAUUGCUUCAGGCGAUCUCAAAUUACAAGGAUGUUAAAGAAGUAAGCCGAGAGUCGGAUCAGGUGAACGCCGAGGCAUCAUCAGGAACUGACCCCAAAGCAGUCGGGGCUGCUUUGGAUGCCAACGAUUUAGCCGCUCUGAAUAAUGUUUUAACUGGACAACAGCAUAAUGGACAAGAAACUGACCAUAACGAAUGUAUGCCUUGAUAAUAAAAACUUUUAAUUGAUACU
This is a long non-coding RNA of Gadus morhua (Atlantic cod), 540 nucleotides long. RefSeq lists it as uncharacterized. NCBI's taxonomy places the organism in Eukaryota, Metazoa, Chordata, Actinopteri, Gadiformes, Gadidae. The record is from RefSeq and is a predicted model, not a curated record. The transcript has 5 exons.